GGUUAAGCGACUAAGCGUACACGGUGGAUGCCCUGGCAGUCAGAGGCGAUGAAGGACGUGCUAAUCUGCGAAAAGCGCCGGCGAGGUGAUAUGAACCCUUGACCCGGCGAUGUCCGAAUGGGGAAACCCAGUGCAAUCCGUUGCACUAUCGUUAACUGAAUACAUAGGUUAACGAGGCGAACCGGGGGAACUGAAACAUCUAAGUACCCCGAGGAAAAGAAAUCAACCGAGAUUCCCCCAGUAGCGGCGAGCGAACGGGGAGCAGCCCGGAGUCUGAAUCAGCUUGUGUGUUAGUGGAACGGUCUGGAAAGUCCGACGGUACAGGGUGAUAGUCCCGUACACGAAAGCACACAUGCUGUGAACUCGAAGAGUAGGGCGGGACACGUGGUAUCCUGUCUGAAUAUGGGGGGACCAUCCUCCAAGGCUAAAUACUCCUGACUGACCGAUAGUGAACCAGUACCGUGAGGGAAAGGCGAAAAGAACCCCGGCGAGGGGAGUGAAAAAGAACCUGAAACCGUGUACGUACAAGCAGUGGGAGCCUCUUUAUGGGGUGACUGCGUACCUUUUGUAUAAUGGGUCAGCGACUUAUAUUCUGUAGCAAGGUUAACCGUAUAGGGGAGCCGAAGGGAAACCGAGUCUUAACUGGGCGUUAAGUUGCAGGGUAUAGACCCGAAACCCGGUGAUCUAGCCAUGGGCAGGUUGAAGGUUGGGUAACACUAACUGGAGGACCGAACCGACUAAUGUUGAAAAAUUAGCGGAUGACCUGUGGCUGGGGGUGAAAGGCCAAUCAAACCGGGAGAUAGCUGGUUCUCCCCGAAAGCUAUUUAGGUAGCGCCUCGUGAACUCAUCUUCGGGGGUAGAGCACUGUUUCGGCUAGGGGGCCAUCCCGGCUUACCAACCCGAUGCAAACUACGAAUACCGAAGAAUGUUAUCACGGGAGACACACGGCGGGUGCUAACGUCCGUCGUGAAGAGGGAAACAACCCAGACCGCCAGCUAAGGUCCCAAAGUCAUGGUUAAGUGGGAAACGAUGUGGGAAGGCACAGACAGCCAGGAUGUUGGCUUAGAAGCAGCCAUCAUUUAAAGAAAGCGUAAUAGCUCACUGGUCGAGUCGGCCUGCGCGGAAGAUGUAACGGGGCUAAACCAUGCACCGAAGCUGCGGCAGCGACACUUAUGUGUUGUUGGGUAGGGGAGCGUUCUGUAAGCCGUUGAAGGUGUGCUGUGAGGCAUGCUGGAGGUAUCAGAAGUGCGAAUGCUGACAUAAGUAACGAUAAAGCGGGUGAAAAGCCCGCUCGCCGGAAGACCAAGGGUUCCUGUCCAACGUUAAUCGGGGCAGGGUGAGUCGACCCCUAAGGCGAGGCCGAAAGGCGUAGUCGAUGGGAAACAGGUUAAUAUUCCUGUACUUGGUGUUACUGCGAAGGGGGGACGGAGAAGGCUAUGUCAGCCGGGCGACGGUUGUCCCGGUUUAAGCAUGUAGGCGGAGGUUCCAGGUAAAUCCGGUACCUUAUUAACGCUGAGGUGUGAUGACGAGGCACUACGGUGCUGAAGUGAUAAAUGCCCUGCUUCCAGGAAAAGCCUCUAAGCAUCAGGUAACACGAAAUCGUACCCCAAACCGACACAGGUGGUCAGGUAGAGAAUACCAAGGCGCUUGAGAGAACUCGGGUGAAGGAACUAGGCAAAAUGGUGCCGUAACUUCGGGAGAAGGCACGCUGAUGUGUAGGUGAAGCCCCUGCGGGUGGAGCUGAAAUCAGUCGAAGAUACCAGCUGGCUGCAACUGUUUAUUAAAAACACAGCACUGUGCAAACACGAAAGUGGACGUAUACGGUGUGACGCCUGCCCGGUGCCGGAAGGUUAAUUGAUGGGGUUAGCGGCAACGCGAAGCUCUUGAUCGAAGCCCCGGUAAACGGCGGCCGUAACUAUAACGGUCCUAAGGUAGCGAAAUUCCUUGUCGGGUAAGUUCCGACCUGCACGAAUGGCGUAAUGAUGGCCAGGCUGUCUCCACCCGAGACUCAGUGAAAUUGAACUCGCUGUGAAGAUGCAGUGUACCCGCGGCAAGACGGAAAGACCCCGUGAACCUUUACUAUAGCUUGACACUGAACACUGGUCCUUGAUGUGUAGGAUAGGUGGGAGGCUUUGAAGCGUGGACGCCAGUCUGCGUGGAGCCAACCUUGAAAUACCACCCUUUAAUGGCUGGUGUUCUAACGUAGACCCGUAAUCCGGGUUGCGGACAGUGUCUGGUGGGUAGUUUGACUGGGGCGGUCUCCUCCCAAAGAGUAACGGAGGAGCACGAAGGUUGGCUAAUCCUGGUCGGACAUCAGGAGGUUAGUGCAAUGGCAUAAGCCAGCUUGACUGCGAGCGUGACGGCGCGAGCAGGUGCGAAAGCAGGUCAUAGUGAUCCGGUGGUUCUGAAUGGAAGGGCCAUCGCUCAACGGAUAAAAGGUACUCCGGGGAUAACAGGCUGAUACCGCCCAAGAGUUCAUAUCGACGGCGGUGUUUGGCACCUCGAUGUCGGCUCAUCACAUCCUGGGGCUGAAGUAGGUCCCAAGGGUAUGGCUGUUCGCCAUUUAAAGUGGUACGCGAGCUGGGUUUAGAACGUCGUGAGACAGUUCGGUCCCUAUCUGCCGUGGGCGCUGGAGAAUUGAGGGGGGCUGCUCCUAGUACGAGAGGACCGGAGUGGACGCAUCACUGGUGUUCGGGUUGUCAUGCCAAUGGCACUGCCCGGUAGCUAAAUGCGGAAGAGAUAAGUGCUGAAAGCAUCUAAGCACGAAACUUGCCCCGAGAUGAGUUCUCCCUGAGACUUUAAGUCUCCUGAAGGAACGUUGAAGACGACGACGUUGAUAGGUCGGGUGUGUAAGCGCAGCGAUGCGUUGAGCUAACCGAUACUAAUGAACCGUGAGGCUUAACCUU
Molecule: ribosomal RNA, 2906 nt
Filed under: Enterobacter hormaechei
Lineage: Bacteria; Pseudomonadati; Pseudomonadota; Gammaproteobacteria; Enterobacterales; Enterobacteriaceae
Description: 23S ribosomal RNA
Rfam family: Bacterial large subunit ribosomal RNA
Source: RNAcentral